GCUGGCGGUAUGCUUAACACAUGCAAGUCGAACGGAAACGAUAGAAGCUUGCUUCUAGGCGUCGAGUGGCGGACGGGUGCGUAACGCGUGGGAAUUUACCUUUUAGUGGGGGAUAGCCCGGUGAAAACCGGAUUAAUACCGCAUACUACUCUACGGAGGAAAAGGGGCCUCUCCUUGGAAGCUCUUGCUAUUAGAUGAGCCCGCGUAAGAUUAGCUAGUUGGUUGAGGUAAUGGCUCACCAAGGCAACGAUCUUUAGCUGGUUUGAGAGGAUGAUCAGCCACACUGGGACUGAGACACGGCCCAGACUCCUACGGGAGGCAGCAGUGGGGAAUAUUGGACAAUGGGCGCAAGCCUGAUCCAGCAAUACCGCGUGUGUGAAGAAGGCCUGAGGGUUGUAAAGCACUUUCAAUAGGGACUAAAUGUUCGUAGUUAAUAACUGCGGAUCUUGAAUUAACCUAUAGAAGAAGGACCGGCUAACUCCGUGCCAGCAGCCGCGGUAAUACGGAGGGUCCGAGCGUUAAUCGGAAUUACUGGGCGUAAAGCGCGCGUAGGCGGUUUAUUAAGUCGGAUGUGAAAGCCCUGGGCUCAACCUGGGAACUGCAUUCGAUACUGGUAAACUAGAGUAUAGUAGAGGUAAGUGGAAUUCCAUGUGUAGCGGUGAAAUGCGUAGAUAUGUGGAGGAACAUCAGUGGCGAAGGCGACUUACUGGACUAAUACUGACGCUGAGGUGCGAAAGCGUGGGGAGCAAACGGGAUUAGAUACCCCGGUAGUCCACGCCGUAAACGAUGUCAACUAGCCGUUGGGAGCAUUUGAGCUUUUAGUGGCGCAGCUAACGCAUUAAGUUGACCGCCUGGGGAGUACGCACGCAAG
Molecule: ribosomal RNA, 871 nt
Filed under: uncultured bacterium
Lineage: Bacteria
Description: bacterial SSU rRNA
Rfam family: Bacterial small subunit ribosomal RNA
Source: RNAcentral